This 815-nucleotide ribosomal RNA is filed under the name uncultured bacterium. Its description in RNAcentral is "bacterial SSU rRNA". It matches the Rfam family "Bacterial small subunit ribosomal RNA", at positions 9 to 810 of the family's 1533-position model. The record is from RNAcentral.
GAGUUUGAUCCUGGCUCAGGAUGAACGCUAGCUACAGGCUUAACACAUGCAAGUCGAGGGGGCAUCAUUAUCGAAGCUUGCUUUGAUAGAUGGCGACCGGCGCACGGGUGAGUAACGCGUAUCCAACCUUCCCCUUAGUAGAGGAUAGCCCGGCGAAAGUCGGAUUAAUACUCUAUGUUGUAUUUUGAGGACAUCUGACGAAUACCAAAGAUUUAUCGCUAAGGGAUGGGGAUGCGUCUGAUUAGCUUGUCGGCGGGGUAACGGCCCACCGAGGCGACGAUCAGUAGGGGUUCUGAGAGGAAGGUCCCCUACAUUGGUACUGAGACACGGACCAAACUCCUACGGGAGGCAGCAGUGAGGAAUAUUGGUCAAUGGGCGUAGGCCUGAACCAGCCAAGUAGCGUGCAGGAAGACUGCCCUAUGGGUUGUAAACUGCUUUUAUGCGGGAAUAAAGUCAGGUACGUGUACCUGUUUGCAUGUGCCGCAUGAAUAAGGACCGGCUAAUUCCGUGCCAGCAGCCGCGGUAAUACGGAAGGUCCGGGCGUUAUCCGGAUUUAUUGGGUUUAAAGGGAGCGCAGGCGGAGGAUUAAGCGUGACGUGAAAUGUCCCGGCUCAACCGUGGAACUGCGUCGCGAACUGGUUUUCUUGAGUGAGUGCGACGUCGGCGGAAUUUGUCGGUGUAGCGGUGAAAUGCUUAGAUAUCACGAAGAACCCCGAUUGCGAAGGCAGCCGACGAGUCCUUAACUGACGCUAAAGCUCGAAAGUGCGGGUAUCGAACAGGAUUAGAUACCCUGGUAGUCCGCAUCGGUAAACGAU